UCUUGAAAGGAGGCUUCCGAGCCUCUUGAAAGGAGGCUUCCGAGCCUCUUGAAAGGAGGCUUCCGAGCCUCUUGAAAGGAGGCUUCCGAGCCUCUUGAAAGGAGGCUUCCGAGCUUCUUGAAAGGAGGUUUCCGAGCCUCUUGAAAGGAGGUUUCCGAGCCUCUUGAAAGGAGGCUUCCUCUUGAAAGGAGGCUUCCAAGUCUCUUGAAAGGAGACUUCCGAGUCUCUUGAAAGGAGGCUUCCGAGCCUCUUGAAAGGAGGCUUCCGAGCCUCUUGAAAGGAGGCUUCCGAGCCUCUUGAAAGGCGGCGGGUCGUAUGGAACUGAUUAAAGCCACCUGCUGACCCUCGGUCAUCUACAUAUAGGGAUGUGUAGAGAAUCUUGUAAGCUCUCGGCUGAUCAUCGGAAACUGAGGCUUCUGCAGUCGAAGAGAACUGACAUCAGAAAUCGGUGACCCAUACCUAUACCGCAGUCAUUGUUGUCGUCGAUGUUUGAUCUGCUGGAUGAAAUGGAGAUGUUCAACGUUCACCGCCAAAGAUUCGUCCUCAUCGACUGCUUUAUCGUCUCGUUUUUUGAUAGCGGCUACGGUAGAAACAAUCUGGACAGGCAUCAUCAUCGUACAGAGGCCAUGUAAUCAAAGUAUGAAGUGUUGCAGAAAAAAUUCACGGGGUGUUGACGACGACAUGUGGUAAGAUGCGCGACUACAAAGCAAGACCCUGAUGAGGGUGGCUGGGUUCGAUUCCCGGUGCCGGUCUAGGUAAUUUUUGUCGGCUUGGAAAUUGUCUCGACUUCCCUGGGCAUAAAAGUAUCAUCGUGUUAGCCUUAUGAUAUACGAAUGCAGAAAUGGUAAUUUGGCUUAGAAAUCUGUGAAACUGCUUGAUGAACACUAAGUUGCGAGGCGGCAAUGUCCCAGUGGGAGAUGUAAUGCCAAUGAAGAGAGAAGUUGCCGAAACUACCUAAUAGACGGAAGCCUUAUGGUCAAAAUGGGUCUACAAAGUGAGAACUUGUUACCGAUGACUCGAUUGAAAGCUUCAAACCACGAUUGGAAAUCAAAGGAUACAGUCAAAUCAAAGACAUAGACUUCAUUGAGACCUACGUACCUGUUGUUAGAUACGCUACCGAUCGUUAUCUCCUGUCCCCAGCGGCUCAGGAAUUUGAAAGUGUUGCAAAUAAAUGUAGUUACAGCGUUCCUGCAGGGUGAUCUUGAUGAGGAGGGAAUAUAUACGGAGCAACCGGAUGGAUUUGUGGACCCAAAGGCACCGGCAGAUGUAUGGUCUCAAACAGUUCAGCAGAGUCUGGAUGCAGAGUUAAAAAGAAUUGGAUUGAAGCGGUCCUUGUAUGAUACCUGUGUUUACUACAAGACUGAAGGCACAAGAAUACUGAUAGUAGCGGUUUAUGUGGAAAACCUUCUUAUUUUUCCAAAUGGAACGUGCUGGGAAGAGAAUUUGAAGAAACAGUUAACCAAAAAAUUCAGAAUGAAGGAUUUGGGGUUGGCGAACAAAGUUUUCGGAAUUCGUGUAACAAAAGAAGAAGGCGUGUAACAAGAUAUCAAGAGCAGUAUAUCACUGCAACACUGAGGUCGUCCCAGCGGACCCGGGACAAAAAUUUACUGAGUCUAGAAGAAGAAGAGCGCAAGCAAAUGGAGAAGGUUCCAUUCCGAGAACUGGUUGGUGGCCUUCGGUAUUUGGCACAAGGAACUCGCUUCACGCUUUGCUGUGAAUGCAUAAUAAGAGAGUUAAUAAAUUCACGAAAAUGUAAAUUGUGUCAAAUCAGACAUCUUUCGGUUGGUCUUAUGUAGCGUACAGAAGCUCAAACAUGUUGGUCCAACGCUGACUCUGCCCAAAAGAAAAUGCUUCGGUUGCUGCUUUGUUUGACCGUGUGUGAAGCUGUUCGAGCAAUCGUUUGACAGUUAGCAGGUUGGUUUGAAAAAAUGAAAGCGGUUCGAUUUUUGUUUGAGUUGUCGGGGUGGAGUUAGGGUCGGCCAAACAUGAUUGAGCAUUUGUAGUGAAGUUGCACAAACCUCCAUAUAUUUUUUGAUGAUUAGUGUCCAAGUUGGCGCUUCGGUCGUUCGUGUGUGAUAUUAUUGGCCGAAUAUGCUUGACUUAACGAGGGAUGAAGUCAAUGUUGGUCAAACUCCUUGACCCCGCGUACGCUGCAUUAGCUUCACUACGCUUCACACAGUUGUCUGGAAAUCCCGUUUACAGUGAAAUGCUUGAUAUGAACGCUCGCUUAAGAACAACAGCGCUUACAAUGGAUUGAACAUAACGGAAUUCGACGUGAGGGAGAAACGUAACAAAACUCAAACCAACUACGUGCAAAUGAUAACAUCUGUGAUAAUGGAUAAAAACAAAUAAGAUUACCCUAUCGAAAAAAAGUAACGAUAAGAAGCGAAACACAAUUAAACAUAGCAACAAAAAGAAAGCAAACCCAAGAAGAAACUCAUCAACUCAAGCAAAACAAAACGAAACUCAACAUUUUUUCUACUUCAAAUAAAACAAGAACAGAGAAAAUAACAAUAAUAGACAGAAGGUGCAGAUUUGUACUACCAUACCGGGUGGGUAACACGGAAAACUAGAAAAUAUUCCAUCGUCGAAAACUAGUGAGAGUUAUAAGUAAGAACAAACAAACAACCAAUUACCAAAAAGUGGACUGCUCUAGUAAUGUAAUGAUAAAACAACAAACGAAAACGUUCAGAAGAACAUCAGCAAAUAAGAAACACUUUAUAACAUCUCAUUGUUCGCAACAGAGAAGGAAACAGAUAGAAAGAGAGAGAUAUUAAAAUUACGAUGAUGAUAUACGGAUGAGGUAAAAAAGAUCUGUUUUCUGUACCAACCAGUGCUGUAAUAUUGAUUUUGCUCAAGAGUAUUAAUUUGCCGAUAAUUACAACAAAGUCAAGCGUUACUAGUAAUAAAUAAAUUCAAUGUUGAUUAAAAUAAAUAUUAUGACACUGGUACCAACAACAAAAUGAAUUUAGUUAAUUUAAAUUUCUACGUUUUUGAACUGGAUGUAAAUACAAUGCAAAAUCAACCAAAAAUAUCAAGUGCAACUGCUGAAAAGACAGCGAUUCUACUAGCCGAAGAUUUUUGUGAAGCCUGCGCCGGAUAGAGAAGGGCUUUCAAUAUUUUAUCAGUAAAUCCAUCUUUUCGUGGAAAGCACCUUUUCCCCAAACACAUACACAACAAUGUAUUGUAAUGCUGAAAGCAAACCAAUCAAAGUAAAACAAAACAAAAAAAAAAAUCUCGUUGCAAUUACGUAUAAACAUAAUCGAAUACUAAGCUACCCCAAAACAAUGAAAAAAUAUAGAGAAGAAAUCUUGAAAAUGCACCUUGAUAGGCAUACAUAUGUAGAAUUCGAUGAAUAAAUCUUUGCUAUAAUCAGGCAACCACGAAAGCAUCAUACCUACCCUA
Armigeres subalbatus is the source of this 3405-nucleotide long non-coding RNA. RefSeq lists it as uncharacterized. The record is from RefSeq and is a predicted model, not a curated record. NCBI's taxonomy places the organism in Eukaryota, Metazoa, Arthropoda, Insecta, Diptera, Culicidae. The transcript has 2 exons.